Molecule: transfer RNA, 69 nt
Filed under: Chaenogobius annularis (forktongue goby)
Lineage: Eukaryota; Metazoa; Chordata; Actinopteri; Gobiiformes; Gobiidae
Description: tRNA-Gly
Rfam family: tRNA
About the family: Transfer RNA (tRNA) molecules are approximately 80 nucleotides in length. Their secondary structure includes four short double-helical elements and three loops (D, anti-codon, and T loops). Further hydrogen bonds mediate the characteristic L-shaped molecular structure. tRNAs have two regions of fundamental functional importance: the anti-codon, which is responsible for specific mRNA codon recognition, and the 3' end, to which the tRNAs corresponding amino acid is attached (by aminoacyl-tRNA synthetases). tRNAs cope with the degeneracy of the genetic code in two manners: having more than one tRNA (with a specific anti-codon) for a particular amino acid; and 'wobble' base-pairing, i.e. permitting non-standard base-pairing at the 3rd anti-codon position.
Source: RNAcentral
AUCUUUCUAGUAUAGGUAAUAUAAGUGACUUCCAAUCACCCGAUCUUGGUUAAAAUCCAAGGAAAGAUA